UACGGGGGGGGCAAGCGUUGUUCGGAAUUACUGGGCGUAAAGGGUUCGUAGGUGGCCGGCUAAGUCAGACGUGAAAUCCCUCAGCUCAACUGGGGAACUGCGUCUGAGACUGGUCGGCUUGAGUGCAGGAGAGGAACGCGGAAUUCCAGGUGUAGCGGUGAAAUGCGUAGAUAUCUGGAGGAACACCGGUGGCGAAGGCGGCGUUCUGGACUGCUACUGACACUGAGGAACGAAAGCCAGGGGAGCAAACGGG
This 253-nucleotide ribosomal RNA is filed under the name uncultured bacterium. Its description in RNAcentral is "partial 16S ribosomal RNA". It matches the Rfam family "Bacterial small subunit ribosomal RNA", at positions 524 to 776 of the family's 1533-position model. The record is from RNAcentral.